Molecule: ribosomal RNA, 500 nt
Filed under: uncultured bacterium
Lineage: Bacteria
Description: bacterial SSU rRNA
Rfam family: Bacterial small subunit ribosomal RNA
Source: RNAcentral
UCCGUGCUGGAGCUAACGCGUUAAAUAUGCCGCCUGGGGAGUACAGUCGCAAGGCUGAAACUCAAAGGAAUUGACGGGGGCCCGCACAAGCGGUGGAGCAUGUGGUUUAAUUCGACGCAACGCGAAGAACCUUACCUGGGCUCGAAAUGCUAUGGACCAGCUUAUGAAAGUAGGCCUUCCCGCAAGGGACCGUAGUAUAGGUGCUGCAUGGCUGUCGUCAGCUCGUGUCGUGAGAUGUUGGGUUAAGUCCCGCAACGAGCGCAACCCUUGUCCUGUGUUGCCAUACUGUAAAAAGUGGAACUCGCAGGAGACCGCCAGGGAUAACCUGGAGGAAGGUGGGGAUGACGUCAAGUCCUCAUGGCCUUUAUGUCCAGGGCUACACACGUGCUACAAUGGACGGUACAAAGGGCUGCCAACCCGCGAGGGGGAGCCAAUCCCAAAAAACCGUUCUCAGUUCGGAUUGCAGGCUGCAACUCGCCUGCAUGAAGCUGGAAUCGCUA